RNAcentral lists this ribosomal RNA (253 nucleotides) under uncultured bacterium. RNAcentral describes it as "partial 16S ribosomal RNA". It matches the Rfam family "Bacterial small subunit ribosomal RNA", at positions 524 to 776 of the family's 1533-position model. The record is from RNAcentral.
UACGGGGGGGGCAAGCGUUGUUCGGAAUUACUGGGCGUAAAGGGCGCGUAGGCGGCCUGCUAAGUCACACGUGAAAUCCCUCGGCUCAACCGGGGAACUGCGUGUGAUACUGGCGGGCUUGAAUUCGGGAGAGGGAUGUGGAAUUCCAGGUGUAGCGGUGAAAUGCGUAGAUAUCUGGAGGAACACCGGUGGCGAAGGCGGCAUCCUGGACCGAGAUUGACGCUGAGGCGCGAAAGCGUGGGGAGCGAACAGG